This 433-nucleotide ribosomal RNA is filed under the name uncultured bacterium. RNAcentral describes it as "partial 16S ribosomal RNA". It matches the Rfam family "Bacterial small subunit ribosomal RNA", at positions 29 to 507 of the family's 1533-position model. The record is from RNAcentral.
AACGAACGCUGGCGGCAUGCCUAACACAUGCAAGUCGAACGAGACCUUCGGGUCUAGUGGCGCACGGGUGCGUAACGCGUGGGAACCUGCCCUUAGGUUCGGCAUAACUCCCCGAAAGGGGUGCUAAUACCGGAUAAUGUCUUCGGACCAAAGAUUUAUCGCCUUUGGAUGGGCCCGCGUUGGAUUAGCUAGUUGGUAGGGUAAAAGCAUACCAAGGCGACGAUCCAUAGCUGGUCUGAGAGGAUGAUCAGCCACACUGGGACUGAGACACGGCCCAGACUCCUACGGGAGGCAGCAGUGGGGAAUAUUGGACAAUGGGCGAAAGCCUGAUCCAGCAAUGCCGCGUGAGUGAUGAAGGCCUUAGGGUUGUAAAGCUCUUUUACCCGGGAUGAUAAUGACAGUACCGGGAGAAUAAGCUCCGGCUAACUCCGUG